This 1009-nucleotide long non-coding RNA is filed under the name Strigops habroptila (Kakapo). RNAcentral's name for it is "lncRNA (ENSSHBG00005017764.1)". The record is from RNAcentral. Lineage: Eukaryota; Metazoa; Chordata; Aves; Psittaciformes; Psittacidae.
CCGCCGAGCGGAACAAAGGCGGCCGCGCCGGGGCCGCCCUUGUGCCGCGGCCGCGUCGGCGCCGCCGAGCGCCAUUCGCGCUCCGGCCCGCGGGCACCCGACGGGAGCGCGGCCCCUUCCUUCGCCGCCGGUGCGGCCGCCGGGGAGGCGCUGCCGGUGCGGUGGCCGCGGGGCCGCGCUGCCGGCGGCACACGGUGCGGCGGGUUCGGCGCCUCCAGGGACGGCGGCCGCCUGGGGAUCCCUUCGGACAACUGAAGGAGCGGGCAGAGUAACUGAGCUGCCACAAAGCAGGUGCGACAGCAGUCUUGUGGAAGGAAGGAGGAACGUAUUGAAUAUCCCUUUAGCUCAGAUUUUGCUGUGGGGAUGCAUGACAAAGUUCUCAGGUCACAGCUGUCACACAAGGAGCCUGCCUCUUGGUAAACAUUUUUAUAUAUUUGCUUAAAUGGUUUGCAUUAAUCUCCUGAAAGGUUCUUGUAAAAAUGCUAAACUCCCAUCCCAAAUCCCAGUGGAACUGGAUUUCUCAUCUCUCUUAGCCCCUUUUCAAUAUUAGGGUCAGUAUCUUGCAUAUGUUUUUAUAUGAAACUCUGUGAUUAAAAGUACUUAAGAUUGGCUCAUUUUUCUCUGCAAUGAGUUCAGUUAUUUCCUUUUUAUACCUUCCAGAAUUUACUAUACCAUAUCUAAAUAUUGGCUGCAGUCCACAUGUUUUAGAUCAUUCUCUAUAAUGGUCCUGUUGUUAUAGAAUCCUUUGUGUGUGUGUGUGAGAGAGAACAUGCAUAUGUGUUGGAAGUGAGGCAGGGCGCAUAUAAUUGUUUGGAAAGAGAAAUCAGGGUAUAUUAAUUCCAUAAGUGAUUUCUGAACUGAUAACAUAAAAGUGAUAAAAAUAGCGAGCAGUGAAAUUACAGAUCUCCAGUGCAUUACCUUGCAUGUGUGGUAAAUAAUACUUCUGAUCCCAACAUACUACUCUAUGUGUAUUCUAGUAAUAAAAGGACUCAUUCACCUUUCGUUGCUA